GUAGUAAUACAAGGCAGACGGCUCAGUAACACGUAGUCAAUCUAACCUAUGGACGAGGAUAACCUCGGGAAACUGAGAAUAAUACUCGAUAGAUCAUUAUGCCUGGAACGGUUUAUGGUUCAAAUGAAUUUCGCCAUAGGAUGGGACUGCGGUCUAUCAGCUUGUUGGUGAGGUAAUGGCCCACCAAGGCUAUAACAGAUACGGGCUCUGAGAGGAGAAGCCCGGAGAUGGGUACUGAGACACGGACCCAGGCCCUAUGGGGCGCAGCAGGCGAGAAAACUUUGCAAUGUGCGAAAGCACGACAAGGUUAAUCCGAGUGGUUCCUGCUAAAGGAAUCUUUUGUUAGUCAUAAUACCACUAAUGAAUAAGGGGUGGGCAAGUUCUGGUGUCAGCCGCCGCGGUAAAACCAGCACCUCAAGUGGUCAGGAGGAUUAUUGGGCCUAAAGCAUCUGUAGCCAGCUUUGUGAGUUUUCGGUUAAAUCUAUAUGCUCAACAUAUAGGCUGCCGGGAAUACUGCAAAGCUAGGGAGUGGGAGAGGUAGACGGUACUCCGUAGGAAGGGGUAAAAUCCUUUGAUCUAUGGAUGACCACCUGUGGCGAAGGCGGUCUACCAGAACACGUUCGACGGUGAGGGAUGAUAGCUGGGGGAGCAAACCGGAUUAGAUACCCGGGUAGUCCCAGCUGUAAACUAUGCAAACUCAGUGAUGCAUUGGCUUGUGGCCAGUGCAGUGCCGCAGGGAAGCCGUUAAGUUUGCCGCCUGGGAAGUACGUACGCAAGUAUGAAACUCAAAGGAAUUGGCGGGGGAGCACCACAAGGGGUGAAGCCUGCGGUUCAAUUGGAGUCAACGCCAGAAAUCUUACCCGGAGAGACAGCAGGAUGAAGGUCAAGCUGAAGACUUUACCAGACAAGCUGAGAAGUGGUGCAUGGCCGUCGCCAGCUCGUGCCGUGAGAUGUCCUGUUAAGUCAGGUAACGAGCGAGAUCCUUGCCUCUAGUUGCCACCAUUACUCUCUGGAGUAGUGGGGCGAAUUAGCGGGACUGCCGUAGUUAAUACGGAGGAAGGAGAGGGCCACGGCAGGUCAGUAUGCCCUGAAACUCUGGGGCCACACGCGGGCUGCAAUGGUAGUGACAAUGGGUUCCGAAUCCG
This 1145-nucleotide ribosomal RNA is filed under the name uncultured archaeon. RNAcentral's name for it is "bacterial SSU rRNA". It matches the Rfam family "Archaeal small subunit ribosomal RNA", at positions 64 to 1213 of the family's 1478-position model. The record is from RNAcentral.